UAGUAGUUCUGUCAAGUAGUUUUGCUCAAUUGUAGAAAAUACUUCCACUUUUGUUUGGCUAGUUUGGAGAACAGAACAUUCUUUGCAUAUGUGCCAUAAAGUUUUUCUAUCUAUUCCCUUUCAAUAGGGGAAAGGGAAAAGGGAAUUAAAACUACUUUUAAUAGUAGUUUUCUCAUUUGAGAAAAAUAGGGAAUUAAUGUCCAAGAAUCUGGAAUCAUUCAUUAUCAAACAGCUUUUGCUAAAUCUCGAAUUUGAAUAUAACUCUGCUUGAGAUAGAUCAUUGUGUCAUCAGUAGUCCACUUGUAACUUACAACGUUUAACUGUGUGUAUCUUUUAUUUGUUUUUAUGUUUAUCAUACUAGUAAGUUUCGUUAAAUUUCCUUCGGCGACGAGAGAGUCAGUGGUAAAAUCAUCGCUUUUCUGUCAGAUGCAUUUAUAAAGUAUUUCACCACCAGCCCCAGUGACACUCCCCUCUACCUCAGCACAGCAGAAUGACACAGCAUCUUAGUUGUAUUGUAUUUUAAUUCAUUUUAUGUCACUUGUUUUUGUGUUCACUGUUCUUAUUUUGUAUGUAAAUAUAAUAUUCUUUAAUAUGUUUGUGCAAUGCCUUCUUAUAUUGUAUUUUUAAUUCAUCACUUGUUUCUUGCUUCCGUUUUUAUUUGGUGUGGUAUUUUUGACUUAAGAAAUACAAUCUUGAAUACAUACAUGCAGUUUCUCUGUGAGUGUAUGAAAAUUGAUUGUAAAAUUGACUGUGAUGCAAGGGGGCGCCAGAUAAAAUCUUGCCUAGGGCCCCAAAUUGGUCAGGCAAUGCUUGGUGCUGUACAAAAGAACAGAACAGCUAAAAGGAGCCAGUUGUUAUGAUAACAGCAACACCUGUGCUUUCUGUCGUGACAAAUCAAACCUUAUAAAACAUUUAAACACAAACCCAUUAAAGAAUCCAUUGAAAAAUCACUAACAGUGUGUUCAAACAAAUUCAAUAUUAUAUUAAAUUAUGAGUAACAAAGGAAAACUAGUACAAGACAAGGUGGGAGAUUUGUAAAUAUUGUUAUUUUAUUUCAUUCAAGUUAAAAAACAGCUUGGUAUCAAUGAAACAUGAAAGAGGUUACAAAAUACACAAAAUAUACUCUACUUACACAACAGAGGACAUCGAACAAUUUCAAUAUAGUUAACAUUUUACACAAAUUAUAAUGGAUGGAUGGACGGACUUACAUGCCCUGAUUUCAAUCAAUAAGUCAUUACAUUUUACUAGAACAAAAGAAACUUGUCUCAUUCACAAAAACUGACUUAACAUGUAUUUGAAACUCAUCAUAAACUGAAAAAAUUGAACAUACAAAAUGUUCACACAAAAAUUCAUAGACGAACAACACAAGAGAUUAGAUAAGUAGUAUCUUAAUUCACAUUAAGUCAUUAAGAGGAGACAUUUGAAAAGACUUACAGUGUAUCUCAAAUCCUAAAUAUACACAAAGAUUAGUCAAGGAAAGACAGAAAUGAUUUAUGAAAGCUUAUAAUGGGUCUGAAACAUGUUGCUGUACAGUGAGUCUUUAGUGCUUCUGUUUGAAUAACUCAAUGUAUCACAAGUGUACAGUCAUUUUUGGGAUAGAAGACAAUUCAGAAGUGUUUCCAUAGAAACCUCAACAGGUUUUUGAUCUGGG
This is a long non-coding RNA of Acanthopagrus latus (yellowfin seabream), 1651 nucleotides long. RefSeq lists it as uncharacterized. The transcript has 2 exons. The record is from RefSeq and is a predicted model, not a curated record. Lineage: Eukaryota; Metazoa; Chordata; Actinopteri; Spariformes; Sparidae.